Molecule: long non-coding RNA, 601 nt
Filed under: Podarcis lilfordi (Lilford's wall lizard)
Lineage: Eukaryota; Metazoa; Chordata; Lepidosauria; Squamata; Lacertidae
Source: RNAcentral
AGGCUUUUCAGUGGUACAAUCCUAAAGAAACCUUAUUUGGUGCCUGUAAGACAGAUGCCUCUCAAAACUCUUAAUUUCAUCUGAAAGAAGGGCAAGCCACAGCCCCCCUGUUUUGUUCAUGAACGGUGGAAUCCUUUGCAUCUAUAAUGCAUUUUCCUAUUGGAAUCGAAGGCUGGAUCAUCUAUCCCAGGGUCUGGAGUCUGGCGCGGAGCCAGGCAAAUUGCAAGUUCCUGCAUCCAUUACAAUUUCACAUGACAGUUACUUGAAGCCGAUCAAGAAAAUCUGGAAAGCUCGAAAGACAACACCCAUUGGGCAAGACAUAUGACUCCAAGCAUCCUCUGCUUACGAAAUGAAAUGAAAUAGCCUAAUAUGAUUCAUCAUUGCAUUUUCUCUCCCAGAAACAUCCGAUUCCCUGUCAUCUUCCAUCAGGGGCUGAAGCUGAGCGGCGCAAUGACAACUAAUGCAUGGGUUUUCCUUCCCUGAAGAGCAAUUGAAGUUGAUUCCUGGGGUACUUAAAGGACUUGGGGACACAGGCCCAUGAUGCAAAUUUGCCUUUGGACAAAUUAAGAUGAUGGGGGCUGGGUCUUAGGAUAUGUAUGUG